This 469-nucleotide ribosomal RNA is filed under the name uncultured organism. RNAcentral's name for it is "partial 16S ribosomal RNA". It matches the Rfam family "Bacterial small subunit ribosomal RNA", at positions 335 to 796 of the family's 1533-position model. The record is from RNAcentral.
ACUCCUGCGGGAGGCAGCAGUGGGGAAUUUUGGACAAUGGGCGAAAGCCUGAUCCAGCCAUGCCGCGUGCAGGAUGAAGGCCUUCGGGUUGUAAACUGCUUUUGUACGGAACGAAACGGCCUUUUCUAAUAAAGAGGGCUAAUGACGGUACCGUAAGAAUAAGCACCGGCUAACUACGUGCCAGCAGCCGCGGUAAUACGUAGGGUGCAAGCGUUAAUCGGAAUUACUGGGCGUAAAGCGUGCGCAGGCGGUUAUGUAAGACAGUUGUGAAAUCCCCGGGCUCAACCUGGGAACUGCAUCUGUGACUGCAUAGCUAGAGUACGGUAGAGGGGGAUGGAAUUCCGCGUGUAGCAGUGAAAUGCGUAGAUAUGCGGAGGAACACCGAUGGCGAAGGCAAUCCCCUGGACCUGUACUGACGCUCAUGCACGAAAGCGUGGGGAGCAAACAGGAUUAGAUACCCCGGUAGUCC